UUAACUGGGGAUUAGAUACCCCACUAUGCUUAGCCCUAAAUAUUAUACAAAACGCCAAAUAACUACGAGCGCAAGCUUAAAACUUAAAAGACUUGACGGUGUCCCAUCAAUCUAGAGGAGCCUGUUCUAUAAUCGAUAUUCCUCGCUAUACCUUACCCCUUUUUGCUCAUCAGUUAGUAUACUUCCGUCGUAAGCUCACCACGUAAAUGCAUCAGUAAGCUAAAUAGUCCAACCACUAAUACGUCAGGUCAAAGUGCAGCUUAUAGAGGGGGAGAAAUGGGCUACUGUUUCUAUCUAAGAAUAAACGAAUUAGCAUCUGAAUAACUGCUAUGAAGCUGGAUUUAGAAGUAAAGUAAAACUAGUGUGUUCACUUUAACAAUGCCCUGGGACAUGUACACACCGCCCGUCACCCUCA
Molecule: ribosomal RNA, 415 nt
Filed under: Hyperolius quinquevittatus (five-striped reed frog)
Lineage: Eukaryota; Metazoa; Chordata; Amphibia; Anura; Hyperoliidae
Description: partial 12S ribosomal RNA
Rfam family: Bacterial small subunit ribosomal RNA
Source: RNAcentral